RNAcentral lists this ribosomal RNA (440 nucleotides) under uncultured bacterium. RNAcentral's name for it is "partial 16S ribosomal RNA". It matches the Rfam family "Bacterial small subunit ribosomal RNA", at positions 338 to 795 of the family's 1533-position model. The record is from RNAcentral.
CCUACGGGAGGCAGCAGUGGGGAAUAUUGCACAAUGGGGGAAACCCUGAUGCAGCGACGCCGCGUGAGUGAAGAAGUAUCUCGGUACGUAAAGCUCUAUCGGCAGGGAAGAAAAUGACGGUACCUGACUAAUAAGCACCGGCUAACUACGUGCCAGCAGCCGCGGUAAUACGUAGGGGGCAAGCGUUAUCCGGAAUCACUGGGUGUAAAGGGCGCGUAGACGGGAGAACAAGUCUGGAGUGAAAUCCUGGGGCUUAACCCUGGAACUGCAUUGGAAACUGUGCGGCUGGAGUGCAGGAGGGGUAAGUGGAAUUCCUAGUGUAGCGGUGAAAUGCGUAGAGAUUAAGAGGAACACCGGUGGCGAAGGCGGCUUACUGGACUGUAACUGACGUUGAGGUUCGAAAGCGUGGGGAGCAAACAGGAUUAGAUACCCGGGUAGUC